UAUUUACUUACUACUCGAUAAUUAGAACAAAAUAUGACUCUAUAUGAAUGCCUCCGGUGGUGUACUCGGAUGUGCAAUGAUCUAGCGUAGCAAUGACAUCAAAAAACGGACAAGACAUAAAAACAUCAUGCAAAGCAAUAUGACAAUGAUGGUGCGUGUCAUAAUAAAUGGAACGAUGGAAGUUGCAUGUCAAUAUAUCUCGGAAUGGCUAUGGAAAUGCCAUAAUAGGUAGGUAUGGUGGCUGUUUUGAGGAAGGGUAUAUGGCGGGUGUAAUGCACCGGUGAAAGUUGUGCGGUACUAGAGAGGCUAGCAAUGGUGGAAGGGUGAGCGUGCGUAUAAUCUAUGGACUCAACAUUAGUCAUAAAUAACUCACAUACUUAUUGCAAAAGUCUAUUAGUCAUUGAAACAAGGUACUACACGCUUGCUCCUAGGGGAAGGGUUGGUAGGAGUUAACCAUCGCGCGAUCCCGACUUCCACACAAAGGAUGACAAUCAAUAAAUAAAUCAUGCUCCGAC
This 515-nucleotide long non-coding RNA is filed under the name Hordeum vulgare. RNAcentral's name for it is "long non-coding RNA (HVUL_LNC004356)". The record is from RNAcentral. Lineage: Eukaryota; Viridiplantae; Streptophyta; Magnoliopsida; Poales; Poaceae.